This is a long non-coding RNA of Cynoglossus semilaevis (tongue sole), 340 nucleotides long. RefSeq lists it as uncharacterized. The record is from RefSeq and is a predicted model, not a curated record. NCBI's taxonomy places the organism in Eukaryota, Metazoa, Chordata, Actinopteri, Pleuronectiformes, Cynoglossidae. The transcript has 2 exons.
AGUUCUUCAGUGUUCUCUCUUCCCAUGAUGUCGCGCUGUGAUCCUCAUGCAGCAGAUCAACCAUCUCCUCCAGAACCUGAGCUGUGAAACCAAGUUUAACCUCCGCCUGAAGGAAGAGGAAGAAACAACACAGACAGAUCAUCAGGAAAGGCCACAGUCUCCUCCAGGGCAGCAUCCUCUGUGGUGUUGGUGGAGUUAUUAGUCUGUAUCACACACACACAUCAUGUGUUACAGGGGAAAGAAGAUUAAAUUAGUGUUUCAAAUGUUUAUUGUCAAACUAAUGAUAAUAAUAACAAUGAUAAUAGUCAUCAAUUCAAGACAACCUGAACAUUAGUGAGUC